RNAcentral lists this ribosomal RNA (460 nucleotides) under uncultured bacterium. RNAcentral's name for it is "partial 16S ribosomal RNA". It matches the Rfam family "Bacterial small subunit ribosomal RNA", at positions 338 to 795 of the family's 1533-position model. The record is from RNAcentral.
CCUACGGGGGGCAGCAGUGAGGAAUAUUGGUCAAUGGGCGCGAGCCUGAACCAGCCAAGUAGCGUGAAGGAUGACUGCCCUACGGGUGGUAAACUUCUUUUAUAAAGGAGUAAAGUGAGGCACGUGUGCCUUUUUGUAUGUACUUUAUGAGUAAGGAUCGGCUAACUCCGUGCCAGCAGCCGCGGUAAUACGGAGGAUGCGAGCGUUAUCCGGAUUGAUUGGGUUUAAAGGGAGCGUAGAUGGGUUGUUAAGUCAGUUGUGAAAGCUUGCGGCUCAACCGUAAGAUUGCAAUUGAUACUGGCAGUCUUGAGUACAGUUGAGGUAGGCGGAAUUCGUGGUGUAGCGGUGAAAUGCUUAGAUAUUACGAAGAACUCCGAUUGCGAAGGCAGCUUACUAAGCUGCCACUGACAUUGAUGCUCGAAAGUGUGGGUAUCAAACAGGAUUAGAUACCCUAGUAGUC